This 895-nucleotide small RNA is filed under the name Pan troglodytes (chimpanzee). RNAcentral describes it as "retained intron". The record is from RNAcentral. Lineage: Eukaryota; Metazoa; Chordata; Mammalia; Primates; Hominidae.
CUGAAAAGCAUCAGAUACAAAAUUGUCAAUUUUGACCCUAAACUUUUGGAAGGAAAAGUAAAGGAGGAUCCUGACCAGGGGGAAUCCAUGAAACCUGUGAUAUUCUUGCCCUUUACAAUACAGCACUGAAGCCAGGACAUGCAGCUGCAUUUUCAGAAGAUUGUGAUUCAGCCUCUACUAAAGUUGUCAUCCGUGGAGCAGGAAACCAGGUAAAUUGCUUACCAAACACCCCUCUUCCUACAAUAUUGUUUAAUGGGAAGAGGUUGCAAAUUCAGGGAACUCUUUUGCUGCAAUUUACACUCCCCAAUAAUUUCAUCCCAAAACUCAAGCCUGCUUUUCUGUAGACUUCUUCAUGGACUUGACAGCCUAAUUGUUCUUGAACAUCUGGUUUAUUAUGUCAACAUCUAGGUUCCUAUUCUAACUUGGAAUUUCAAAUAUCUAUUUUCUAAUCUGAAGAAGUCAUAGUUUAACAGCUCUUCUCUCUACUGGCUAUAAAAUUGUAUCUAUUCUGUUUGAAGCAGUAAGUACAUACAUCCUAUUUGUGUUUUUAGUACAAUUACAUUGGCUAUCUUGACUAUAAAAAGGAAAGAAUUCGUAAGCUUUCCAUGAAAGCCAGCACUUGCUCAUUUAAUCCUGGAGUUUUUGUUGCAAACCUGACGGAAUGGAAACGACAGAAUAUAACUAACCAACUGGAAAAAUGGAUGAAACUCAAUGUAGAGUAAGUAUGUAACUGGCCUAGCUGUGAAAAACUGUUGUAUUUCAAUUCCUAGAGUCUUGACUAACAGGAGUUAGUACUUUUCACUAACAAACAUUUGUUUUCUGUCCCACCAAGAGAGGGACUGUAUAGCAGAACCCUGGCUGGUAGCAUCACAACACCUCCUCUGCUUAUCGUAUU